UACGAAGGGGACUAGCGUUGUUCGGAAUUACUGGGCGUAAAGCGCACGUAGGCGGAUUUGUUAGUCAGGGGUGAAAUCCCGGGGCUCAACCUCGGAACUGCCUUUGAUACUGCAAAUCUCGAGUCCGAUAGAGGUGGGUGGAAUUCCUAGUGUAGAGGUGAAAUGCGCAGAUAUCAGGAAGAACACCCGUGGCGAAGGCGGUUCUCUGGGACGGUACUGACGCUGAGACGCGAAAGCGUGGGGAGCGAACAGG
RNAcentral lists this ribosomal RNA (253 nucleotides) under uncultured bacterium. RNAcentral describes it as "partial 16S ribosomal RNA". It matches the Rfam family "Bacterial small subunit ribosomal RNA", at positions 524 to 776 of the family's 1533-position model. The record is from RNAcentral.